RNAcentral lists this ribosomal RNA (279 nucleotides) under uncultured bacterium. RNAcentral describes it as "partial 16S ribosomal RNA". It matches the Rfam family "Bacterial small subunit ribosomal RNA", at positions 506 to 784 of the family's 1533-position model. The record is from RNAcentral.
UGCCAGCAGCCGCGGUAAUACGUAGGUGGCAAGCGUUGUCCGGAUUUAUUGGGCGUAAAGGGAACGCAGGCGGUUUUUUAAGUCUGAUGUGAAAGCCUUCGGCUUAACCGGAGAUGUGCAUUGGAAACUGGAAGACUUGAGUGCAGAAGAGGAGAGUGGAACUCCAUGUGUAGCGGUGAAAUGCGUAGAUAUAUGGAAGAACACCAGUGGCGAAAGCGGCUCUCUGGUCUGUAACUGACGCUGAGGUUCGAAAGCAUGGGUAGCGAACAGGAUUAGAUA